GUCUUCCAGGGCAGGACAAAAAUAGCACCUGAUGGAGAGUGGCAUGACGCACGAUUCAUCCGGGAAAGCUUUCCAAUAUCGUAAUAUCACAUUGGCAGUGAAGGAAAACCUUUACUUCGCCAGGUUACAUUUCAGGCCUGAUUAACGACCUGAGGCACGAGGCCCCGGCUCUGCACGGUGACGUGAAGACUGCGUUUCCGCAGCGAACGCUGACUGGACGGAAGCAACGCUGUGGAUGUGAGGCCCGCAUGUGAUCGUUAGGUCGUUCAUUUGCAUAUGUAACACUAACGUUGUUACAAGGACAACUAUAAAAAAAUAUUUUCUUUCAAAUACAGUAAGAAAAACUACCAACAUGUAACUACUACUACUGCCAAAACAAUUACUGUAAACACACAAAUACUGAUGUAUAAAUCCUCUUAGAAUCAAGUGUAUUACGAAAUUAAUUAUAAUUUUAACCUUAUCAAAGUCGGGAGUUGAUGCAGCAUCUUACAAAAACGAGUACUUUUCAGCAGUUGUGAAAGAAUUUUCAGAUUUUUCCUUCCUUCAACGCAGACGUUUAAAAUAAUUGUCAAAUCUCUGUCCAUGGUGCUGAACACACGCUGAUUGUACGGUGUUUUCCAAGAUUCUAAUUAGAGACCACGGCUCGUCUGCAGAUUUACUACUUAUUAAACGAGUUUGUCUGUAAUUAAAUAUUUGUAUUGUCCUCCUCAACAUUACACCUUCUGCUAAAAUGUUCUUUUUCACAUCCACAAUUGUAUUGCCAGUUGAUUGUCAACAAUAUUAUCCUCUAUUGAUUGACGAAAACUAAUUAUAAAAAAAAUCAUUAUUAUUUUUGAGUUCUUGACAUUGGUGUCCUUAAAAACACAACACACUGACAUUUGUUUGCUGAGAAGCUGCCAUUCACACCUACACCCAACUUGUUCUUCACUCACUUUUCACAACACACACAGUGAAGCCACAUCAUUAACAGCCGUGGACCGAGUGCUUCAUACAGCCAACAGUAAAAUCUUUACCUGAUUGGAGUAAACAAAGAUGGUGACUUCUGUGACAGCUAAAAACAAGACGAGGAUCUUUCUGGGGGAAAAAAAAGUGACGUGUCCUCUAAUUUAGUAUCUGUGCGGCUGCCACACUGUGAGGCAGGAACACCUCCAAUUAGUGGCAUUUCUGAGAAAUAAAAAGCAGCGUUACAGACAGAUAUGAGCACACCCUGGGCAGCCUGAUUACUGCUGUGGAACGCAAGAAUAUAAUCAGGCACAGACAUGGCAGAAAUAUGAUGCAUUCAACAUAUAGUCCUAACUCUUUUAGGGACCUCUCUCUGCGUAAAACCAUCCUAUUGGUGUUGGAGCUCAACUACAGAGGGUCCGACUGAUUUAAACUGAUACUAGAGGUUGUGCAGAAGUUGAUGAACUGCCAAACAAUGGAUCAGAUAAGUCACAGUAACUGACAGUUCCCUGGGAGCCUAGAACAAGAAAGUGACAAAGUAUACAAUUAGAACUGAGAAGAAACGUCGCCUGUUGUGAAUACUGUUUAUUUCUGCUGCAACCAGUGAAGGAUUAGAGUUUAGCAUCAAACCAUGAAUCUUUCCCGCCUGUUAUGAAAGCUUCAGACCACUGCUGGUCAUUGUACGGUGUGGGGAGAUAUUUUCUUGGCACAUUCUGACGAACCAGAGUGCCAUCUUGGCAGUACUGUAAACACUGAAUUAUGUAAGGAAGGUUUUUAAAAGACCAGUGAGCCUCAAUGACCUG
Molecule: long non-coding RNA, 1745 nt
Organism: Cynoglossus semilaevis (tongue sole)
Lineage: Eukaryota; Metazoa; Chordata; Actinopteri; Pleuronectiformes; Cynoglossidae
Exons: 2
Source: RefSeq, a predicted model, not a curated record